This 375-nucleotide ribosomal RNA is filed under the name uncultured organism. Its description in RNAcentral is "partial 16S ribosomal RNA". It matches the Rfam family "Bacterial small subunit ribosomal RNA", at positions 527 to 896 of the family's 1533-position model. The record is from RNAcentral.
GUAGGUGGCAAGCGUUGUCCGGAAUUAUUGGGCGUAAAGCGCGCGCAGGCGGUCCUUUAGGUCUGAUGUGAAAGCCCACGGCUCAACCGUGGAGGGUCAUUGGAAACUGGGGGGACUUGAGUACAGAAGAGGAAAGCGGAAUUCCAAGUGUAGCGGUGAAAUGCGUAGAGAUUUGGAGGAACACCAGUGGCGAAGGCGGCUUUCUGGUCUGUAACUGACGCUGAGGCGCGAAAGCGUGGGGAGCAAACAGGAUUAGAUACCCUGGUAGUCCACGCCGUAAACGAUGAGUGCUAAGUGUUAGGGGGUUUCCCGCCCCCCUUAGUGCUGCAGCUAACGCAUUAAGCACUCCGCCUGGGGAGUACGGCCGCAAGGCUG